This 407-nucleotide ribosomal RNA is filed under the name uncultured bacterium. RNAcentral describes it as "bacterial SSU rRNA". It matches the Rfam family "Bacterial small subunit ribosomal RNA", at positions 355 to 772 of the family's 1533-position model. The record is from RNAcentral.
UCGAGGAUCUUCGGCAAUGGGCGCAAGCCUGACCGAGCGACGCCGCGUGUGCGAUGAAGGCCUUCGGGUUGUAAAGCACUGUCGAGGGGGAGGAAGCCGCAAGGUUGACCUAUCCCUGGAGGAAGCACGGGCUAAGUUCGUGCCAGCAGCCGCGGUAAGACGAACCGUGCGAACGUUGUUCGGAAUCACUGGGCUUAAAGGGCGCGUAGGCGGACUUGAUAGUCCGCGGUGAAAGCCCCCAGCUUAACUGGGGAAGUGCCGUGGAUACUGCAAGUCUGGAGGAGGGUAGGGGCAUCUGGAACGCUGGGUGGAGCGGUGAAAUGCGUUGAUAUCCAGCGGAACUCCGGUGGCGAAGGCGAGGUGCUGGACCCUUUCUGACGCUGAGGCGCGAAAGCCAGGGGAGCAAA